AUGGGUUCCAAGGUGGGAACUUGGGUGUGUCGAGGAGGAUGGGAACGAAGCCAGAGACCAGAAGUACAAUUACUUCUGACACUCUUCACAGGACCACCUGACAUGGUUAAACAGCCCUGGCUUAACGUUCCAGACACUGCUGCCAAUACUUGCGGCUGUUAGUUCCUGAUUUCUGCUUAAGGCUUUGCAGUUCUGCUUAUAGUCCUGUGAUCACACUUCCUCCUGUGGCAGCUGAACUCCACAUUUCCCAAAACAGGAUUUCCCUAUUCUGUAGAGAACUUCCAUGAUUGAAUCUUCCUGCUUCUGGAAAUAAAAUGGGUAGUUCCUUGCAUACAAA
This 337-nucleotide long non-coding RNA is filed under the name Mus caroli (Ryukyu mouse). RNAcentral describes it as "lncRNA (MGP_CAROLIEiJ_G0006439.1)". The record is from RNAcentral. Lineage: Eukaryota; Metazoa; Chordata; Mammalia; Rodentia; Muridae.